This 457-nucleotide ribosomal RNA is filed under the name uncultured bacterium. Its description in RNAcentral is "bacterial SSU rRNA". It matches the Rfam family "Bacterial small subunit ribosomal RNA", at positions 29 to 524 of the family's 1533-position model. The record is from RNAcentral.
AGUGAACGUUGGCGGCGUGGAUUAGGCAUGCAAGUCGAGCGAUCGUAGCAAUACGGGAGCGGCAAACGGGGUAGGAAUACAUCGGAACGUACCUUUUGGUUGAGAAUAGCGUUGGGAAACUGACGGUAAUACUCAAUAAAGUCGAGAGACCAAAGGUUUACUGCCGGAAGAGCGGCCGAUGCGAUAUUAGGUAGUUGGUGGGGUAAUGGCCUACCAAGCCUGAGAUGUCUAGGGGGUGUGAGAGCAUGGCCCCACCACUGGGACUGAGAUACUGCCCAGACACCUACGGGUGGCUGCAGUCGAGGAUCUUCGUCAAUGGGCGAAAGCCUGAACGAGCGACGCCGCGUGCGGGAUGAAGGCCCUUGGGUUGUAAACCGCUGUCAGGGGGGAUGAAACCGUAAGGUUGACAGAGCCCCAGAGGAAGCACGGGCUAAGUCGUGCCAGCAGCCGCGGUAAU